AUUACUGUGUGAUUGCACACCACAUGUGGUUGCUGACACAGCUUCUCCCUCUCGUGGGGCAACCUUUUGGCAGAAGAGCUCCUGAGGAAUGUCCUAGGCUCACCUCUGAGGAAGAGAGGUUGCUGACCUGAGGCACUGCAAUAGAGACUGAAAACAGAUGGAGAGGCUGUGCUCACUUGGAAUAUGAGCCCAUGGGUAUUUGGAGAGAGCAAUUAUACUCUUGCUCAGUCUUCUGUUUGCAUGACUAAACAAGCCUGUUCCAGUGGGUGGCACAAGAAGCACAAAUUAAAAACAGGUCUACUGGUAGCCUGCAGGCAGCAACUGCACAGGAGAUGUGAAUAAUUGAUCUUACUGUCUGUACCCCAGAAUCAGUGGUUUCCAUCAGUCAGCAGGGCUCAUCUAAAUCCUGCAUGCCUGUGCAGAUUCAGCUUUAUUCCUACAGUGAAUUUUUCCAUUCAUUCUGCUUCUACAAAAAUCUUGUGUAAAUCCCUGCUUCUCCAGAUGGCAUGGGCUCUGUAGCUACUGUUAUUACACAUUGCAUAUUACAAUUAUUCCUUCUCUGUUCAGUCCAAAGCUCUCUUCGUUCUAAAGGUGACAAACCAGAGACUUGGUACCCGUGAAUACUGGGAUAGAGAAGAUCACAGAGUGCCAGAACUGCUUAAAAUAAAGCACUCCCAGCACUGCAAGUACUGGACUCUCUAGCUAUAGAACACAUCACAAAAAAAUGUAUCAUUUUGAAGGCUGAAAAAAAAGCAGAAAAGCACAUCCUAACUCCAUGUCUAUGUAUGUUCCUUCAUGACUUCACGACAGUUGAUAAUUAGUUGAAUGCUCAAUUUUAAUAGAAAUUGCUUGGUUUACAUAAUCAUUUAUUGGUAAGAGACCGUCUUGUAUUUGCAGAUAUGUCAGUAGAUGUUCCAUGUAGGAAAACAUUUAAGCAUGUGCUUUAAACCAAGACUAUUCUAUCUUAAAGUGGUAGUAAUAAUAAUAAUAAUAAUAAUAAUAAUAAUAAUAAUAAAAUAAUAUUUUUUC
This is a long non-coding RNA of Gallus gallus (chicken), 1029 nucleotides long. NCBI's taxonomy places the organism in Eukaryota, Metazoa, Chordata, Aves, Galliformes, Phasianidae. The record is from Ensembl.